Molecule: long non-coding RNA, 3839 nt
Organism: Cyprinus carpio carpio
Lineage: Eukaryota; Metazoa; Chordata; Actinopteri; Cypriniformes; Cyprinidae
Source: Ensembl
AUGUGGCGUGCAUCUAUCCAUAAAGUAUUCUUUUUUUCUUUACAAGGCCAAACGCUUUUGCAUGUUCCAGGUAAAAUGUUGGUCCAGAUCAAGUACAACGAACAGCAGAAGUAUGUGAAGCUGGAUUGCAUUGAAGGGAGGUUUGACUUCAUGCAAUUUCAAGUCAAAGUCAUUGAGAGAUUUUGUUUGCCACCUGAUGCAAAAGUAACAUACAGGGAUGCAACAGGGACAGAAGUCGAUGAAGAAAUAUUCAGUGACCUCAUUGGACAAGGCAAUGUGGUGCUGACUGUUUUCUCAAAUGACGAAUUUUCAGACUCUUUUUCUUCCACAUCUGAGAAGUCUGACAAAAGCAACAGUUCAAGUGCAUCGACUAUAAUCUUAGAUGAGGUCCCUAACAAGAGACAGAGAAAAGAGGACACAUCUGCACUGUCUGCAAAGCAGUUGGUCGAGGAUGUUCUUAAAUUGAAGUCUGGUGGUGAAGCAGUACUACAGGAGUAUCAAGAAACAGAAACCCUUACAGAUGCCACAAGAAGACAAAUGAUCAACAUUCUGGUGGCUCACAUGAUUGAUACACAUGGGCAACUCCCUACUAAAGCCAUCAGAGAACAGUAUGCUCUUGGCAUAGUGAUGAUGUUCCCUUCCCUCAGAGAUCCUUAUUCCAAGAAAGGAUAUGAACACUUUUAUGAUGCUGCAAGCAACACAGGAUACAUUGCUUGGCGUAUGAAAACAGUCCACAGGAAGAUUAGACGAGGAUCUUUGCCACUAGACAGCCCUCAUGAUGUUUCUCCAGGAGGCCCAAAAUGCCAAAGGGCUACUAAUUUUGAAGGGCAACUUGAUGGGGAUGCUUGCAGAGAGGCCAUUUCUUUGCUCAGCCACACUACAGAGAAGUCCCUAAUAUUCCAAAAGAUGAGAGAGACCUUUCAGCAUCGCCAGAAGCUUGUUAAAGAUCCAGGCUCUAGUGUUGAUAUCCUCUCCACCUUCCCAAGAUUCCUAGAUACAAAAGGCCUGGUUGAUCAAGACUUCACUCUCCUGUUUGACACCGAGACAUCCUCCAGGCUGCUUCAGAAGUGGGACACGUUCUUCAGGCCAAAUGUCAUUAGAGAGGCCAAGCAACUUACUUCAACAGCAGAGCUGAGUCAGUUGUUGCUCUCAGCAGAAUGUCCUAAAGGAAGUGACCUUCAUGAAACAAUCUACGACCAGGAAAUGGCAUCCCUUCUUUUACUGAUACAUCUCCUUCCACCAUCACCAGGAGGACCGAAGUCUCCAAAAAUCAGUGCAUGUGAUGCUGCUGAAAGACUUGUAAUCUUUCAUAAGUCAUGCUGCAGUUUGGAGGAGCACCUCAACAACAUCCAGCAUCAGCAUCCCUACCUCCUUGCUGUUGGACGCCAGAAAAGCAAGACUGAGUGCUUCUACAUCAUCUUGGAUAAGCAUCUCAUCCCAUGCCAGGCAAACCGCUCCCUUGGAGCAUUUGAUGAACUUUUCAAGGCACAUUUUGUGUUCAAUUUAUCCUAUGAUAGUGCACUUCUAAACUUUUACACAUUCCUGCAGACAACAGUGUAUAACAUUGAUGUAGGUAAGAUGAAGGAGUCUCCCAGGGUUAGAGAUUUGAGAGCCAGACUGCUCAACCAGACAGUAACCUUAACUUAAAGUCGGGCAGUAUGAUGUUGACAGAAUGCUGAUCUGUUUUAUUUGUCAAAAAGAGCACCCAGAGAGUCAACAGUUGAUUUCCCAUUUAAGAGGUGAACAUAGUUAUUAUCCUGGAUCUAAGUUCAAAUUAAUUUGUUCUCAGCAAGGUUGUAGGCAUCAGUUCCAAACAUAUGCAGGUUUUCGUAAGCACCUUAAUAGUGUUCAUAGCAGCAUUCAGCUGAUUGCUCCAACUUCAACUGUUGGAUGUUCCUCAAGUGAGCCAGUUGCAAGCUCAUCUCAUGCUUUGGAGGACCUUAUGAAUCCCCAGCAUUUAUCUCCUUGUUCCAGUGCUUUAUCUGAUAACAAUGAUUCAGGGCUUACUAAAAAUUCAACUAAAGAAUUGUGUGAAUCCAUUGUGGCCAAAAUACAAGCAAGUGGGAUUUCAAACAGUUUGGUGUCCUCAAUUGUCGGAGAUUUAGAGGAGCUAACAGAUGAGCUUAACUCUCAGGCAAAGCAUAACAUACUUUCUGCUUUGCCUACAAAUGACCCCCUACAAAAACUGUAAUAAAUGAAUCUUUUGAAAAAAAUUAGAAAACCCAUUCACAAAUUUGAAUACAGAAUGGAAACGUAAUAAAUACUUUAAAGAAAAAUGGGGAGUUGUAGAGCCCAAUGAGAUAACAUUAGGUGUGCGGUAUGACAACAAAUUGAAUAAGAAAUCUGGUACUUAUGACCAAGUUCCAGUGAAUGAUACUUUUAUAUAUGUGCCAAUUUUAGAAACAUUGAAAUUCAUGUGCAGAAAUCCAGACAUUUGUGAUCUCCUAAGGAAAGAUUGUAGAUCAGAGCCUGACACUUUUACAGAUUUUAGCGAUGGAAGUUAUUUUAAAUCCCACCCUUUAUUUACAACAAAAAGACAUGCAUUACAAAUUCAAAUAUACUAUGAUGAUUUUGAAACCGCUAACCCCCUUGGCUCCAAACGUAGUAUCCACAAAAUUGGCUGCCUUUAUUUUAUUGUAAGAAACUUGCCUCCAAAAUUUAACUCAGUUCUGAUGAACAUUCAUUUGUUAGCACUUUUUCACACACAAGAUGUAAGCAAGUACGGUUUUGAUGUUAUACUGGAUCCAUUGAUAAAUGAUAUAAAGAUACUUGAAAGCCAAGGAUUAAGUCUCCCAUUCUCAGAUGAGCAGAUAUACGGCACCAUCGCACAAAUCACUGGUGAUAAUCUAGGAAUGCAUUCAAUUCUUGGUUUUAAUGAGUCAUUUAAUAGCCAUCAUUUCUGUCGCCUUUGUUUAAUUGAAAAGAAUGAUUCUCAAACAGUAUACAGUGAGGAUGAUCCUAAGGUGGUCCUUCGUGGACAAGAAAUCUUUGAAAUACAUUGCAAGUCUCUCCAUGAAAACCCACAAUUGAGGUCACUAUAUGGUUUGAAAAAAAAAUCCAUAAUUAAUACACUGAAGUACUUUCAUGUUAGCAAUAACUACUCAUUUGAUAUAAUGCAUGACCUUCUUGAGGGCGUGGUUCAAUAUGAAAUCAAAUUGCUUUUUGGACAUCUCACACAAAACUUUAUAUCUGAAGAGGAUUUACUUUCAAGGAUUUAUUCUUUUGAUUAUGGAUUUUUAGAACGGAAAAAUCGUCCCACAAAGGUUAUUUUGGAUAGUGCUGGUAAUAGCAUUGGUUUAAAUUCCAUUCAGACAUUAUGUCUUGUGAAAAAUCUCCCACUUUUGUUAGGAGACAUUGUUCCUCCAGGACACAAACACUGGAGUUUGUUGCUUAUGUUACUUCAAAUAAUGAACAUUGUGUUUUCACCUUGUCUCACUUCAGGUUUGACAGUGUAUUUGAAGCACUUGAUCGCUGACCAUCACAAACUAUUCAAGUACUUGUAUCCUCAUAAAAAUUUGAUUCCUAAACAUCAUUAUAUGAUACAUUACCCUUCUUCUAUAAGGAAAAUUGGCCCCUUAUUAUAUAUGUGGUCAAUGAGGUUCGAAGCCAAACAUAAGAUGUUCAAAGAUUUUUUUAAAAAUUUCAAAAACAUAACAAAAUCAUUAGCUAAAAAGCAUCAGAUGGCCAUUGCGUACCAUUGGGAAACCUUCACCCUCAAACAUAAUGAGUUUGGGCCAAUUAAACCAUUUUCCAUAGGGAAUGAGGUCAGCAAUCAAAUGCUUGAAAUGUUCGUAUCAAAAGAUGUUUUCUCAACCAGUUGGGUUAAAGUUGAUGGUGUA